This 591-nucleotide long non-coding RNA is filed under the name Marmota monax (woodchuck). The record is from RNAcentral. Lineage: Eukaryota; Metazoa; Chordata; Mammalia; Rodentia; Sciuridae.
UUCAGGGGAAAAUUCCAUCCAGUGAAGGUCGAGGGGGGCAGCAUUCCAAGGUCAGGGUCAGUGAUUGGUCUCAGGGUCAAUGGUCAGUCACACCCCCACAUGGACAGGCUCUCCCACCUGGAGAGGAUGGGGAUAAGCUCUCAGUUUGGCCAGAACGCCUCACACCCAAUCAGGGAGGUGCCCAAUCACGUGCCAGAAUGGCUCCCCACAAUCACCAAAGAUUCAAAUGACUGUAGGGAUCAUCUAGGAAGUGUCCUGCACAGCUGUCUGGGUAUGAGCAGAUGGGAGUUCUCGGAGGACAAGGGCUGUCUUAGGAUUCUUCACUGUUCCACAUAAAACUCACUCAGUGAUUGCUUUCUGAGUGACUACAAAUGACUCUAUUUUUGAGACCAUGGAUCUUGUAAAAAGUUUGUGUGAGAUGUUAAAGGCAACACAGCUCCAGCAAGUCAAAAGUCCUCUGAACAGCCUGGCUUUAAUAUUAAUCCAUGAGUUUCUAGACUCUUCCAAAGUGAGGCUUUCUGGAAAGUUGUCAUUACUUAGGCUGCAGAAGCUAACAGAGAGAUCUUCAAGAGCCUUCCUCUCAGCUACCCU